This is a long non-coding RNA of Herpailurus yagouaroundi (jaguarundi), 254 nucleotides long. RefSeq lists it as uncharacterized. The transcript has 3 exons. The record is from RefSeq and is a predicted model, not a curated record. NCBI's taxonomy places the organism in Eukaryota, Metazoa, Chordata, Mammalia, Carnivora, Felidae.
AUUUCCCCAAUUCAAGAUGGGAAGAAAUAGAAAAUUUGAACAAUUAACCAAGGUAGAAAUUGAAUCUGUUAUCAGAAAUCUCCCAACAAAUAAGAGUCCUGGGCCAGAUGGCUUCCCAAGGGAAUUCUACUAGACAUUUAAAACAGAGUUAAUACCUAUUGUUCUCAAAUUGUUCCAAAAAAUAGAAAUGGAAUGGAAGCUUCCAGACUCCUUCUAUCAAGUCAGCAUUACCUUGAUUCCAAAACCAAAGACCC